UUCUUGGCUUCUUUUGGUUGCAGCCGUGCUGUGCUGGGGGGUCUGCUCCAGCCCCCAGUCACCUUAGACUCUCCAAAGCCUGAAGGUGACAGUGGCUAAAGCUGCAAAACAGAAAAGAUGAUGACCCUCCCUUCCCUUUGGGAGCUCCAUCCCAGUGUUAUGUUCUGGGCAUUCAUCUAUCCUCUCAUCAGCUUUUGAUCUACCACAUCUUGGCUAAACUUUACCUCAGAUACUGCUGAUAUUUACUGAUACAAUUGGCUCUGGUAAGUUUUUUAAAAGGACAUAAAACUAUAUUAGAAUUGAAUAUAUCCAGGAUAACAUCUACUUGGAAAGCUGCCGUAAUUGUCUAGAAUAUCCCUAAUUAGGUCAACAGAGAACACAGAAACAAAACUUGGUUCAUAAAGUGUCAUGUUUUUAGAAGCUCUGACAAAGGCAAGUUAUGGUUUUGAUGCCUUUCUAUCCAUGUUUGCAUAGUCUGUAUACAGCUGCACAAAAGAAGCUCCAUGCCAAAUAUGCUCAAAACAGCCUGUGCCAGAAUGAACAGACAAUGUCAUCACACAAAAUGAUCCUGUGGGUCAGUGUUCUUUUGUAACUUUAACAUUAAUCACUGUGUUCUAGAAAAAGAGAGAGAAGAAAAGGAAUGGUCAUUUUUUUCUGUCAUUUCUUAUUAAAAAUAACAUUUCCUCAGGAUUGUAACAAAAUUCUAGAAC
RNAcentral lists this long non-coding RNA (710 nucleotides) under Homo sapiens (human). RNAcentral's name for it is "HSALNT0079850". The record is from RNAcentral. Lineage: Eukaryota; Metazoa; Chordata; Mammalia; Primates; Hominidae.